This 3454-nucleotide long non-coding RNA is filed under the name Homo sapiens (human). RNAcentral's name for it is "non-protein coding lnc-SLC11A2-7:1". Lineage: Eukaryota; Metazoa; Chordata; Mammalia; Primates; Hominidae. The record is from RNAcentral.
GUACGCGGUCCUGACUUGUGGCUAGGGGUUCCUCGGAACGCGUUCCUCAGGCUGCAGCGGGAGAGGGACGGUGCCUGCGGUUCCGUUUCUCCUUAGGAGCUGUACCCCACCCGCCCUACGUCCGCUUCCGGAGGCCAUGAGCAGCUGGGUGCUCGCGGGGGGCGUUUUCAUCGAUUAGUGGCGGCGCUGUCAACUCACCUGCCAAUUGACCUUGACCGACGCCGGCCCUGUCCUCUUGGAAGGAGAAAUGAAGAGUGAAGGCUUUGACUUCCUCAGCUUUUUUUUUUUUUUUUUUUUUUUAGAUGGAGUCUCUUUUUUUUUUCCGAGAUUGAGACGGGGGUCUGUGGCCCAGGCUGUAGUGCAGUGGUUCGAUCUCGACUCACUGCAGCCUCCAACCCCGGGAUUCAAGCGAUUCUCCAACCUCAGCCUAUGGGGCAGCUGGGACCACAGGCGCGCGCUACCACGCUCGGCUUGAAGAGAUGAGGACUCUAUGUUGCUCAGGCUGGUCUUGAACUCCUGGGCUCAAGUGAUCCUCCGCCUCGGCCUCUCAAAGUUCUGGGAUUACAGGCGUGAGCCACCGUGCCCGGCCUUACUCAGAUUUUUCUUAAUCCCAUAAAGUAACAAUGAGUUGUGUCCUUUAACCCAUGUGGAAGGAUUUUCUACAGAAACGGAUUUACAAUGAGACAUAACGAUGUGGCCGGGCGCGGUGGCUCAUGCCUGUAAUCCCAGCACUUUGGGAGGCCCAGGAGGGCGGAUCACCUGAGAUCGGGAGUUCGAAACCAGCCUGACCAACAUGGAGAAACCCCGUCUCUACUAAAAAAUACAAAAGUAGCCGGGUGUGGUGGCGAAUGCCUGUAAUCCAAGCUACUUGGGAGGCUGAGGCAGGAGAAUCGCUUGAACCCGGGAGGCGGAGGUUGCGGUGAGCCGAGAUCGCACCGUUGCACUCCAGCCUGGGCAACAAGAGCAAAACUGUCUCAAAAAAAAAGAAAAAAGAAACGUAACAGAGUGUUAAUAAAAUGUUAUGCCGUCAUUUUAAUGCAUUACAAAAACUUCAGAAUAUUUUUGGGUCUACCUCUCUGGAAGGGAGUUAUGCCUUAUUCUUAAUUUUUAAAAUUUCCUUGUAAAAUGCUGUUUUAUGGCUUUAAUGAUAGUAAACGACAAAAGAUAAACUUUUUUAGUAUGCUCUUGACAAAAGUUCCGAAAGUUUUCUGAAAUUUUACUAGUUUGAGAUCCCCAAUUUAGGAAACCGAUUUAGUGGAGAGAGCUUUGCCUAUUUUUGGCCCUUUGGGUCGGAGAAUGUGAUAUAAAGCCGAAGAUUUACUCUGCCAGACAGUCUUAAGAGGUCACUAACGUUUAGCUAUUGACAUUCAGCAAAAAUUGUGGAUUACCUAUUAAAUGCUAGACCAGGGGACAACUGUUAUUAAGUCAGUGUUUCAGCAUUACUGAAAGAAAAGUGGCCUAUAAAGGUAAGGGAGAGGAAGAGUUUCUCAGAUACCAGCCUUCGAUGAUUAACAAAGUCCAGCCUCAAUCAUUCUGGAAUCCAGAAUAUUGAUGGCUGGAAGGCUGGUUGUACAAGUUUAUUGUUCUUUGGUGUUUGGUUUUUUCUUCCGUGGACCACAGAAUGCUUAACAAAAGUUGAUCAGUAAAAAGCGGGGGAGGGGCUAGGCGUCGUGGUUCAUGACUGUAAUUCCAGCACUUUGGGAGGUGGGGGAGGGCAGAUCACCUGAGGUCAGGAGUUCGAGACCAGCCUGGCCAACAUGGUGAAACCCCGUCUCUACUAAAAAUACAAAAAUUAGCCAGGUGUGGUGGCACACACCUGUAAUCCCAGCCUCUCAGGAGGCUGAAGCAUGAGAAUCGCUUGAACCUGGGAGGCAGAUGUUGCAGUGAGCCAAGAUCACGCCACUGCACUCCAGCCUGAGCCACAGAGGGAGACUGUCUCCAAAGAAAAAAAAUAAAAACCUGGAAAUUUUAUUGAAAAAUGAAACCUUCAAAAUGUGCCUUGACUACUUCUUUAGCUCCUCUUCCUUAGUGCCUUAGGUCUAAAUCAAAUGUUACGCUCGACCAGUCCUGGUGGCAUGCGCCUGUAAUCCCAUCUACUGGGGAGGCUGAGGCAGGAGGAUCAUUUGAGCUCGGGAGUUUGAGGAUACAGUGAGCUGUGAUCAUGCCACUGCACUCAAGCCUACAUGACAGAUGAGACACUGUCUCUAAUUUUUUUUUUUUUUUUGAGAUGGAGUCUGCCUCUGUCGCCCAGGCUGGAGUGCACUGGUGCAAUCUUGGCUCGUUGCAACCUCCACCUCCCGGAUUUCAGUGAUUCUCCUGCCUCAGCCUCCAAGUAGCUGAGAGAUUACAGGUGUGUGCCAUCACAGCUGGCUAAUUUUUGUAGUUUUUUAAGUAGGGACGGGGUUUCACCAUGUUAGCCAGUCUUGGUCUCGAACUGCUGACCUCAAAUGAUCCGCCUGCUCAGCCUCACAAAGUGCUGGGAUUACGAGCAUGAGCCACGGCACCUAGCCUCUAAAAUAAUUUUUUUUAAAAUUGUUUAAAAAACAACUCAGGCCGGGCACGGUGGCUUACGCAUGUAAUCCCAGCACUUUGGAGGGCGCGGUGGGUGGAUCACCUGAGGUCAGGAGUUCGAGACCAGCCUGGCAAAUAUGACGAAACUCCGUCUCUACUGAAAAUACAAAAGUUAGCCAGACGUGAUGGCGUGAGCCUACAGUCCCAGCUACUCGGGAGGCUGAGACAGGAGAAUCGCUUGAACCCAGGAGGCGGAAUUUGUGGUGAGCCGAGAUCGUGCCACUGCACUCCAGGCUGGGCAACAGUGAGACUCCAUCUCAAAAAAAAAAAACAAAAACAAAAAACCACGACUCAGUUGACAGAGGAAAAGAAGAAAAAAAGUUAUGCUUGUUCAACACUGCCCCUCAAAAAUACUUCUGCUUUUCUUGUCUCUUUCUCAUUGAAGUAUCAUAAACUGUGCCUACCAGUCUUCUGAACUGUGAUAACUAGAUGAAAAAAAAAAAGAGGUCUUGGUUCUGAUGCAUGCAGUUUAUCUGAAUAGUAAGUUUCAUAAAUCAGAUGGACAGAUCUUUAAUAUUAGAAGCAAGGAAAGUGAAACAAAGAAACUUAGAGCCAUGGCCGGGCAGGGUGGCUCACGUCCUCCGUAAUCCCAGCACUUUGGGAGGCCAAGGUGGGUGGAUCACUUGAGGUCAGGAAUUCAAGACCAGUAUGGCAAAACCCUGCCUCUACCAAAAAUACAAAAAAUUAGCUGAGCGUGGUGGAGCACACCUGUGGUCCCAGCUACUUGGGAGGCUGCGGCAGGAGAAUCCCUUGAACCCAGGAGGUGAAGGUUGCAGUAAGUCGAGAUCGUGCCACUGCACUCUAGACUGGGUGACAGAGCAAGACUCCACCUCAAAAAAAAAAAAAGAAAAAGAAAAAGAAACUUAGAGCCGAAAGUAAUUUU